RNAcentral lists this ribosomal RNA (288 nucleotides) under uncultured bacterium. RNAcentral describes it as "partial 16S ribosomal RNA". It matches the Rfam family "Bacterial small subunit ribosomal RNA", at positions 30 to 318 of the family's 1533-position model. The record is from RNAcentral.
AUUGAACGCUGGCGGCGUGCUUAACACAUGCAAGUCGAUCGGUAACAGGUGUAGCAAUACAUGCUGACGAGAGGCGGACGGGUGAGUAAUGCUUGGGAAUCUGCCUAUUAGUGGGGGACAACCCGGGGAAACUCGGGCUAAUACCGCAUACGCUCUACGGAGAAAGCCGGGGACCGCAAGGCCUGGCGCUAAUAGAUGAGCCCAAGUCGGAUUAGCUAGUUGGUAGGUAACGGCCUACCAAGGCGACAAUCCGUAGCUGGUCUGAGAGGACGACCAGCCACACCGGAA